RNAcentral lists this long non-coding RNA (201 nucleotides) under Mytilus galloprovincialis (Mediterranean mussel). The record is from RNAcentral. Lineage: Eukaryota; Metazoa; Mollusca; Bivalvia; Mytilida; Mytilidae.
CCACACCGCAUUUUUGCACCUGUCCCAAGUCAGGAGCCUCUGGCCUUUGUUAGUCUUGUAUUAUUUUAAUUUUAGUUUCUUGUGUACAAUUUGGAAAUUAGUAUGGCGUUCAUUAUCACUGAACUAGUAUAUAUUUGUUAAGGGGCCAGCUGAAGGACGACUCUGGGUGCGGGAAUUUCUCGCUACAUUGAAGACCUGUUG